This 77-nucleotide transfer RNA is filed under the name Pseudomonadota bacterium. Its description in RNAcentral is "tRNA-Arg". It matches the Rfam family "tRNA". From Rfam's summary of the family: Transfer RNA (tRNA) molecules are approximately 80 nucleotides in length. Their secondary structure includes four short double-helical elements and three loops (D, anti-codon, and T loops). Further hydrogen bonds mediate the characteristic L-shaped molecular structure. tRNAs have two regions of fundamental functional importance: the anti-codon, which is responsible for specific mRNA codon recognition, and the 3' end, to which the tRNAs corresponding amino acid is attached (by aminoacyl-tRNA synthetases). tRNAs cope with the degeneracy of the genetic code in two manners: having more than one tRNA (with a specific anti-codon) for a particular amino acid; and 'wobble' base-pairing, i.e. permitting non-standard base-pairing at the 3rd anti-codon position. RNAcentral also lists the same sequence under 2 other names. Lineage: Bacteria; Pseudomonadati; Pseudomonadota. The record is from RNAcentral.
GGCCCCAUAGCUCAGCAGGAUAGAGCGGCGGUUUCCUAAACCGUAGGUCAGAGGUUCGAGUCCUCUUGGGGCCGCCA